UUUAAAGUCUAAUCUGCCCUAUGAGGAUUUAAAUGGCCGCGGUAUUUUGACCGUGCAAAGGUAGCAUAAUAAUUAGUUUUUUAAUUGAAAGCUGGAAUGAAUGAUUGGACGAGAAAAUAACUGUCUCAAUUUAAUUUUAUUAGAAUUUUAUUUUUAAGUAAGAAAGCUUAAAUUAUAUUAAAAGACGAGAAGACCCUAUAGAGUUUUAUAGUUGAUUAAUUAUUAAUUUUUUAGAAUUAUUUUAUUAAUAUUUGAUUAAUUAUUUUGUUGGGGCGAUAGAAAAAUAUAAUUAACUUUUUUUAAUUUUUUUUUACAUUGAUUUAUGAUUUUAUGAUCCAUUAUUUAUGAUUAGAAGAUUAAGUUACCUUAGGGAUAACAGCGUUAUUUUUUUUUAGAGUUCUUAUCGAAAAAAAAGAUUGCGACCUCGAUGUUGGAUUAAAAUUAAAGUUAGGUGUAGGAGCUUAAUUAUUAGGUCUGUUCGACCUUUAAAAUUUUACA
This 498-nucleotide ribosomal RNA is filed under the name Serica elmontea. RNAcentral describes it as "partial 16S large subunit ribosomal RNA". It matches the Rfam family "Bacterial large subunit ribosomal RNA", at positions 1844 to 2600 of the family's 2925-position model. Lineage: Eukaryota; Metazoa; Arthropoda; Insecta; Coleoptera; Scarabaeidae. The record is from RNAcentral.